ACAUCCAGAGAAUUUAGCAGAGAUUGCUUUUAGUGGCCUUCGGGAACUCUGAGACAGGUGCUGCAUGGCUGUCGUCAGCUCGUGUUGUGAAAUGUUGGGUUAAGUCCCGNAACGAGCGCAACCCUUAUCCUUUGUUGCCAGCACGUAAUGGUGGGAAACUCAAAGGAGACUGCCGGUGAUAAACCGGAGGAAGGUGGGGAUGACGUCAAGUCAUCAUGGCCCUUACGAGUAGGGCUACACACGUGCUACAAUGGCGCAUACAAAGAGAAGCGACCUCGCGAGAGCAAGCGGACCUCAUAAAGUGCGUCGUAGUCCGGAUUGGAGUCUGCAACUCGACUCCAUGAAGUCGGAAUCGCUAGUAAUCGUAAAUCAGAAUGUUACGGUGAAUACGUUCCCGGGCCUUGUACACACCGCCCGUCACACCAUGGGAGUGGGUUGCAAAAGAAGUAGAUAGCUUAACCUUCGGGAGGGCGUUUACCACUUUGUGAUUCAUGACUGGGGUGAAGUCGUAACAAGGUAGGCGUAGUGCU
Molecule: ribosomal RNA, 530 nt
Filed under: uncultured bacterium
Lineage: Bacteria
Description: bacterial SSU rRNA
Rfam family: Bacterial small subunit ribosomal RNA
Source: RNAcentral